AAAUAACCGCGUCAUUUUUAAAUCUGCUUAAACAAAUGACAAAUCGAAACAGCGCAGACGCCGAUCAUCCGCCAUUCACACAUCGUAUACGCCAUCUUGUUUUGCAAGAAAAUGCAAGAUGAAAUAAAAAAAUGCAAAGAAAUCAUUGCCCUAGACACUCGUUGCUCUCAGAUGAUGCAUACUACAAGAUUAUUCUGUUUUAUGAAACUGAAACUCCGAAUUCUAAUGCAAAUUGUGAUCUUCGAAAUUGAGGUUAUGAAAUUGACAUAACUCUAUUUAUAAACAAUAUGAACGACCGCGUUGGAGUAUAUGAAUGCAUUGGAACCUUGACAUGUGUUUUACUGUGUUUCUCAUCACGAUAAUAGAAAAUCUAGUGCUCAUACUCACGAUCUAAUGAACAUACAGCCAUACAAAAGAUGUCUUAAAGAACUAUGCCUCCACUGACAAAGUGAAUUAAGUUGCCUACUCGAAAAGCAACUUUGCAAGGAAGCAAGUUUACUACCCCCUGAAAUGUUCCCUUGGUACUUGAUGGGAUUAUGUAAUGAAACUGUCAAUAUUACAACAUGACAAGGAUGUUCCUGAUGGCGAUGGGUGAUGACUAACUUUCAAAACUACAAGAUGAACCCCUUCCACUUCUAGAAUGUGAAGAAUGCUGCCAUAUUACUGGCCCAUAUGAUCAUCAUGACAACUGUCUACCGUUGUCUACCCCGAUACAAGGAAAAUUACAAAUGUGUUGCUAAGCUUAAUAUUAGAUCAGUAGAAGCAGUUAGAAGAAUAAAGAAUGGUUCCUGAGUUUUACAAUGACCGACUAACUUUGAUGACUGAUGCAGAUGACUAUGCCAGCAAAAGAUGGAUAACAGAUGUACUUCGAAUAGCAAUAUGACCAAAGCACUACCUUACAUUAUUAAGACUAGAAUAUUGAAUAUAUAAUAAAAGUUUAAGUUGUAAAAUAAUAAUGUG
Molecule: long non-coding RNA, 960 nt
Filed under: Leguminivora glycinivorella
Lineage: Eukaryota; Metazoa; Arthropoda; Insecta; Lepidoptera; Tortricidae
Description: uncharacterized LOC125235019
Source: RNAcentral